RNAcentral lists this transfer RNA (72 nucleotides) under Camelus bactrianus (Bactrian camel). It matches the Rfam family "tRNA". Rfam says of the family: Transfer RNA (tRNA) molecules are approximately 80 nucleotides in length. Their secondary structure includes four short double-helical elements and three loops (D, anti-codon, and T loops). Lineage: Eukaryota; Metazoa; Chordata; Mammalia; Artiodactyla; Camelidae. RNAcentral also lists the same sequence under 2 other names. The record is from Rfam by way of RNAcentral.
GAGGGUAUAGCUCAGUGGUAGAGUGAGUGCCUAGCAUGCACCAGUUUCUGGGUUCAAGCCCUAGUUCCUCCA